GGCCCAGAUCGUUUACCGUGAAAAAAUUAGAGUGUUCAAAGCAGGCAGAUCCAAUUUUCUGCCACCGAAUACAUUAGCAUGGGAUAAUGGAAUAGGACCCUGUCCUCCUAUUUUCAGUUGGUUUUGGCAGCGCGAGGACUAGGGUAAUGAUUAAUAGGGAUAGUUGGGGGCAUUAAUAUUUAAUUGUCAGAGGUGAAAUUCUUGGAUUUAUGAAAGAUUAACUUCUGCGAAAGCAUCUGCCAAGGAUGUUUUCAUUAAUCAAGAACGAAAGUUAGGGGAUCGAAGACGAUCAGAUACCGUCGUAGUCUUAACCAUAAACGAUGCCGACCAGCGAUUAGGAGACGUUGAAUACAAAACACCACCAUCGGUGCGGUCGUCCUUGGCGUCUCGGUUUCGGCCGGGGUGCGGGGACGGCUUAGCCCGGUGGCACCGGUGAAUGACUCCCCUAGCAGCUUGUGAGA
This 461-nucleotide ribosomal RNA is filed under the name Acanthamoeba sp. RNAcentral describes it as "SSU rRNA". It matches the Rfam family "Eukaryotic small subunit ribosomal RNA", at positions 740 to 1095 of the family's 1831-position model. RNAcentral also lists the same sequence under 2 other names. Lineage: Eukaryota; Discosea; Longamoebia; Acanthamoebidae. The record is from RNAcentral.